This is a non-coding RNA of Camellia sinensis, 582 nucleotides long. The record is from RefSeq and is a predicted model, not a curated record. Lineage: Eukaryota; Viridiplantae; Streptophyta; Magnoliopsida; Ericales; Theaceae.
GAAGAAUCGCUUCUUCAGGGUUGGAUCUUCAAUCCCUCUGUCUCCGUUCUUUACAAAAAACCCCAUUCCCCAAAACUUUUAUGAAAUUGGGCUCAACCAUGAACAACUUGAAGAUUCUAAGGUGUUGUUGCAUCAAGGGUUUCCGAAAUCACCACCUUGUUUCUAUAGUCGAUGCUUUACCCUGGCUUGAAGAGCUCGAUAUCUAGUUUUCCGGCUAUUUUUGGAACCGUGGGUGGAAUUCAAAGCCUAGAAGAGGCGCAAAGCACAUGGCAACUGAUGCUGGGAUCGAGAUUUUGGCUGAGCAUAAGAAUGGGAAGUUGGCAAUUAUUACAUGACAGUUGGUUUUGUGUUUGGUUGUUCUGUAUGCAUUUGCAAGCAAAUUAGCAUUGUGGUUGUUUCUUGUUGAGGCUUGAACUUUCAAUCCUCUGUUAUGCUUCUUUUGGUUUCCAUAUUCCUGUACUUUUCUGUUAAUAAUUUAGGGGCCCUUUUUCUUUCUUCCAAAAUUUUCAUUUGAAUUUGCACAUAUUGCUAAGCUUGUUAUUCGGACCUGUUUGGUAGUGUUUUCAAACAAAAAUUCUUCUC